This 785-nucleotide long non-coding RNA is filed under the name Salmo salar (Atlantic salmon). RNAcentral's name for it is "lncRNA (ENSSSAG00000098359.1)". Lineage: Eukaryota; Metazoa; Chordata; Actinopteri; Salmoniformes; Salmonidae. The record is from RNAcentral.
CCAAUAAAAUUUGAUUAAACAUCUCUGGCAAUUUAGCUAGCUAGCUUGCUGUUGCUAGCUAAUUUGUCAUGGGAUAUAAACAUUGGGUUGUUAUUUUACCUGAAAUGCACAAGAUCCACUACUCUAACAAUUAAUCCACAGAUAAAACGGUAAACCGAAUUUGUAUCUCAUCAUCUCUCCUUCCUUCAGGUUUAUUUUUCUUCUUUGGACUUUAUAUGACGGUUGGCAAUUUACAGUGCAUUACUUCAACUGACUGGACUGCGGACCUCAGUUAAUCUUUCAAUCACCCACGUGGGUAUAUGCUUCUAAAAAACAACGAGGAUAUGGCACAUGGGUAUAUGCUCCUAAAAACCAAUGUGGAGAUGGGAGAGGCCGGACUUGCAGCACGUGAAGCGUCACAAAUAGAACCAAUUUCUAUUUUAGUGCCUGGCUACGCAGACACUCCGCAAGCAGUGUGGGUGCAACGAUUGAAUAACAUGGUGACGCCGGCUCUGUAUGCUUUCAAAAGGACCUGAACGUGAAACAGAUGAUGUUGUGACCUCAUCGGAUAAACAAGGGUUAACACAACCAACAUUGUUGUAAUAGCAACCGGGUGUGUCUGUAAUUCUGGGUGUGAAAGUCACAUCAUCUGCUCUGAAAGAAAGGGACCCAUUGACUCGCACAAUGUGAACAGGCUGCAUCCCUCGCUUCUUCCCUCCCCCAGUAAUCAGUACACAGGAAGAGGUGAUAAGACAGACCCAUGUUGACUCACAAAAUUCUGGAAUGUAGAGAAAAGGGAAAAGGGG